GAAUCUUGCGCAAUGGGCGAAAGCCUGACGCAGCCAUGCCGCGUGAAUGAUGACGGUCUUAGGAUUGUAAAAUUCUUUCACGGGGGACGAUAAUGACGUUACCCGGAGAAGAAGCUCCGGCUAACUUCGUUCCAGCAGCCGCGGCAAUAUGAAGGGGGUCUGCGUUGCUCGGAAUUACUGGGCGUAAAGGGCGCGUAGGCGGAUCGUUAAGUCAGAGGUGAAAUCCCAGGGCUAAACCCUAGAACUGCCUUUGAUACUGGCGAUCUUGAGUAUGAGAGAGGUAUGUGGAACUCCGAGUGUAGAGGUGAAAUUCGUAGAUAUUCGGAAGAACACAAGUGGCGAAGGCGACAUACUGGCUCAUUACUGGCGCUGAGGCGCGAAAGCGUGGGGAGCAAACA
This 398-nucleotide ribosomal RNA is filed under the name uncultured bacterium. RNAcentral's name for it is "partial 16S ribosomal RNA". It matches the Rfam family "Bacterial small subunit ribosomal RNA", at positions 359 to 774 of the family's 1533-position model. The record is from RNAcentral.